GACGAACGCUGGCGGCGCGCCUAACACAUGCAAGUCGAACGAGCGAGCGAGAGCUUGCUUUCUCAAGCGAGUGGCGAACGGGUGAGUAACGCGUGAGGAACCUGCCUCAAAGAGGGGGACAACAGUUGGAAACGACUGCUAAUACCGCAUAAGCCCACAGGUCGGCAUCGACCAGAGGGAAAAGGAGCAAUCCGCUUUGAGAUGGCCUCGCGUCCGAUUAGCUAGUUGGUGAGGUAACGGCCCACCAAGGCAACGAUCGGUAGCCGGACUGAGAGGUUGAACGGCCACAUUGGGACUGAGACACGGCCCAGACUCCUACGGGAGGCAGCAGUGGGGAAUAUUGCACAAUGGGGGAAACCCUGAUGCAGCGACGCCGCGUGGAGGAAGAAGGUCUUCGGAUUGUAAACUCCUGUUGUUGAGGAAGAUAAUGACGGUACUCAACAAGGAAGUGACGGCUAACUACGUG
RNAcentral lists this ribosomal RNA (466 nucleotides) under uncultured bacterium. RNAcentral's name for it is "partial 16S ribosomal RNA". It matches the Rfam family "Bacterial small subunit ribosomal RNA", at positions 28 to 507 of the family's 1533-position model. The record is from RNAcentral.